AUGCUUUCAAGGUCUGUGAAGCCAAACUUGAUGCUGGGGAUUUAUUUUUGUCAGUGGAGUCAAAUGGUUGAAGCAGAAUUUGCCCGUCUUACAUCUGUUGACCUGAAAGGGUUCCUUUUUGCUGUGCUUAACCAUUAUGGAGAGGUUCGUGGAGCUGUACAAAAUCAAGAGCGGCAUAGGAGGGCUAACUAGGCUCAUAAAAUGCUUCGGUGAUGAUAGCCCUACACAAAGGAAGAGGACAGAGGACCUCAUUUUCUAAAGGAAGAUCCCUCACACACUUUCAAGACUGUGAAGGUUAGCAUUGUUUCUUUUAGUAAAUUUAAUAAGUGGAUUUUAAAUUAAACAUGUGGCAUCUAUGAAUAGAUGCCACAUGAUAACAUGUGUACUUUUUCCUCACCAAAUGUAUUAUUACAAGAUCUUUGACAGUGG
RNAcentral lists this long non-coding RNA (429 nucleotides) under Oreochromis niloticus (Nile tilapia). Its description in RNAcentral is "lncRNA (ENSONIG00000042824.1)". Lineage: Eukaryota; Metazoa; Chordata; Actinopteri; Cichliformes; Cichlidae. The record is from RNAcentral.